Molecule: ribosomal RNA, 392 nt
Filed under: uncultured bacterium
Lineage: Bacteria
Description: bacterial SSU rRNA
Rfam family: Bacterial small subunit ribosomal RNA
Source: RNAcentral
GACGAACGCUGGCGGCGUGCUUAACACAUGCAAGUCGAGCGGUAAGGCCCUUUCGGGGGUACACGAGCGGCGAACGGGUGAGUAACACGUGGGUGACCUGCCCUCAGCUCUGGGAUAAGCCUGGGAAACCGGGUCUAAUACUGGAUAUGACUCCAUGACGCAUGUUGUGGGGUGGAAAGCCUUGUGCGGCUGAGGAUGGGCCCGCGGCCUAUCAGCUUGUUGGUGGGGUGAUGGCCUACCAAGGCGACGACGGGUAGCCGGCCUGAGAGGGCGACCGGCCACACUGGGACUGAGACACGGCCCAGACUCCUACGGGAGGCAGCAGCGGGGAAUCUUGCGCAAUGGGCGAAAGCCUGACGCAGCGACGCCGCGUGAGGGAUGACGGCCUGUGU